Ruditapes philippinarum (Manila clam) is the source of this 375-nucleotide long non-coding RNA. RefSeq lists it as uncharacterized. Lineage: Eukaryota; Metazoa; Mollusca; Bivalvia; Venerida; Veneridae. The transcript is spliced from 3 exons. The record is from RefSeq and is a predicted model, not a curated record.
UGAUUGGUCAUUGUUAGUUCAAAGGUCAACAAGACGACGUCAGCUCGUAAGUUACUGCGUCAAGAUGGCACUGAAUAAGUCGCCAUCGACGACGCAUCCUAGCUGUUAAAGCGUGGAUAAACUCGCGAUGCCAACAAAAAGUAGAUGGAAAUCUAUUGGCAGACCAAAUAGUGAACCACUAAUGCCUAGCAAAAUACCAACCCUUCUUACGGAACCUGACAGAUCUGCCAGUGUUCCGAACCUGGGUUCAUCAAAUACCCAUACACCGAGGCUCUCCAUGACCGCCCACACAAUACCUUGGAGGCCAGGCAGUGUAUCACCUAAACAGAUGCAGUCUGGAACACAUCUACCAAAUCCAAAGCUUGCAAAGUUCUU